UGUGACAUCACAAUGCUCCAAUGUGACAUCACAAUGGUACAAUGUGUCAACACAAUGCUCGAUGUGACAUCACAAAGCUGAAUGUCCCCUCACA
RNAcentral lists this microRNA precursor (94 nucleotides) under Nannospalax galili (Upper Galilee mountains blind mole rat). RNAcentral describes it as "miRNA (ENSNGAG00000006053.1)". The record is from RNAcentral. Lineage: Eukaryota; Metazoa; Chordata; Mammalia; Rodentia; Spalacidae.